GCUGGACCAGUGCACCCCAAAAUUGAUGGCCUUGACCCAAUCAAGAGGAGGAGCUGCAGGCAUGAAUAUAAGACACAUUAAGGACAUGCUCCUUGAGGACAACAUGGUUGAAAAGUGGAGAGAAAUUGCCAUUCGCUGCCUCAUAGUCGAUCUUGGAGAGAAGGAAGAGGACCUUUUCAAACAGUACUGCGAUGUGGAGGAGCUGGACGAAGACCUCUCCAUGCAUGUGAUGAAGAUUGCCAUCAUUGGUAAUGGACAUGCAACCAUCGUCAUUGAGGGAAACAAGAUCCUGCAGGGGAUUGAUGUCGCCAGAUCCUGUGCCUUGCUCAUGGGAAUAAUCUAUGCUCUUAAUCUUCAUCAAGACCAAUCUUCAGAGCAGAGUUCAUCAACCUUGCUUGAGUGAGAUGCUUACAUCACAAACACUCACACCUGCUUGUUUUUUAUUUCUGCCUGUGUUCUGUGACGGUGUUAGUGUAUUUGCUGUUUGCACUUGUAAGGAUUUAUUGCCACUAAGGAUUUAUUGAUGUUAACUUUAAUAAAUGUUUCUUAUAAAUGUGA
Long non-coding RNA from Salarias fasciatus (jewelled blenny), 558 nucleotides. RefSeq lists it as uncharacterized. The record is from RefSeq and is a predicted model, not a curated record. The transcript is spliced from 3 exons. NCBI's taxonomy places the organism in Eukaryota, Metazoa, Chordata, Actinopteri, Blenniiformes, Blenniidae.